Rana temporaria (common frog) is the source of this 507-nucleotide long non-coding RNA. RefSeq lists it as uncharacterized. The transcript has 3 exons. The record is from RefSeq and is a predicted model, not a curated record. NCBI's taxonomy places the organism in Eukaryota, Metazoa, Chordata, Amphibia, Anura, Ranidae.
ACCAGAUGAUGGAGGAAACUUCAUGUUUUGAGCCCUGGGCUUUGACUCCAGGGAGGGCUUCUGCCCUUUUGUUACUUGUAUGAUUUAAUGAGCAUAAUAUUUUGCAUAACAGUCAACUGGUUUAACAUGUUCUCCUUUCCGCUUUCUUUUUCUUACCAUUUUUCUAUCUUUCCCUUCCUACCCUCGCAUUGGACUUCGACCCCGUGCUUCAGUUCUGAUGGCCCACCACCACAAGAGAAGAGUGCUGCACUUUCCAACGAUGGGCUCCUCACCACAUGCUAACAAAUACCCAGCUCCCGAGCACUUUGGCUGCUGCCGUCCAUUUGGGGGUUCAGCAAUGGAGACACUGGCUUCGUUCAUUGAUACAUUCCAUCUGCAUCCACCCCUGAUGAGAGAGCAAUGAUCUUGCGAAACGUGCGGCGGGUUCUCUGAUGUGUGCAUUUGUAUAUACUGCAUUGUAUAACGUUUGUAUCAAUUUUAAUUACCCUUUAUUAUGUGCAAAUCCAU